AUGAUACCGGUAGUCCACGCCGUAAACGAUGAGUGCUAAGUGUUAGGGGGUUUCCGCCCCUUAGUGCUGCAGCUAACGCAUUAAGCACUCCGCCUGGGGAGUACGGUCGCAAGACUGAAACUCAAAGGAAUUGACGGGGGCCCGCACAAGCGGUGGAGCAUGUGGUUUAAUUCGAAGCAACGCGAAGAACCUUACCAGGUCUUGACAUCCCGCUGACCGCUAUGGAGACAUAGCUUUCCCUUCGGGGACAGCGGUGACAGGUGGUGCAUGGUUGUCGUCAGCUCGUGUCGUGAGAUGUUGGGUUAAGUCCCGCAACGAGCGCAACCCUUGUCCUUAGUUGCCAUCAUUCAGUUGGGCACUCUAAGGAGACUGCCGUACAAAUACGGAGGAAGGUGGGGAUGACGUCAAAUCAUCAUGCCCCUUAUGACCUGGGCUACACGCGUGCUACAAUGGACGGUACAAACGGUUGCGAAGUCGCGAGACGGAGCCAAUCCGAGAAAGCCGUUCUCAGUUCGGAUUGCAGGCUGCAAC
Molecule: ribosomal RNA, 531 nt
Filed under: uncultured bacterium
Lineage: Bacteria
Description: bacterial SSU rRNA
Rfam family: Bacterial small subunit ribosomal RNA
Source: RNAcentral